CGGAACGGGUGAGUAACACGUAGGGAACCUGCCCGCGCACCGGGAAUACGCUCUGGAAACGGAGAACAAAUCCCGAUGUACAGGAAGGAGGCAUCUUCUUUCUGUGAAACAUCCUUUAGGGGAUGGGGCGCGGAUGGACCUGCGGUGCAUUAGUUGGUUGGCGGGGUAAAGGCCCACCAAGACGAUGAUGCAUAGCCGGCCUGAGAGGGCGGACGGCCACAUUGGGACUGAGACACGGCCCAGACUCCUACGGAAGGCAGCAG
Molecule: ribosomal RNA, 263 nt
Filed under: uncultured bacterium
Lineage: Bacteria
Description: partial 16S ribosomal RNA
Rfam family: Bacterial small subunit ribosomal RNA
Source: RNAcentral